GUCCAAGAUAUCUCAUAUCCCAUAUAUACGUAUACAAGGGUAAUUACCAUUUUUUUUCCCGGCUCUUUGGAUGCGCACAUUGAACUAGCUUUAUUAGUGAAUUCUCAGAUGGAAACAAGGUUCAAAGUCACUCUAUUUUUGGCCUGGAAUUAAGUUACAUGUUGGAGUCUCAGAAAUAAGCUCUUUGCCAAAGAAAGGAAGAAAAAAGCUGGAAAAUUUUCCUCCACAUAAUAUUUCAUGAGGUCAUUUAUGUAGCUGCUGGAGGCCUUCGUCGUGAUUCCAUGAUACAAAAUCCUUGAUGAGGUCAUUUAUGUAGCUGUCUGCAGUUCCACUCGCUCCAAUUCCAUGUAAUGGGACAUUUUAAGCUGCUACCUCGAAUGCAAGAUUAAGAUUACUAAUGGGGAUAUGUUGCU
This 413-nucleotide unclassified non-coding RNA is filed under the name Hevea brasiliensis (rubber tree). Lineage: Eukaryota; Viridiplantae; Streptophyta; Magnoliopsida; Malpighiales; Euphorbiaceae. The record is from RNAcentral.